UAGAUACCCCACUAUGUCUGACCGUAAAUCUACUUACACCCAAACCGCCAGGGAACUACGAGCUUUAGCUUAAAACCCAAAGGACUUGACGGUGUCCCACCCAACUAGAGGAGCCUGUUCUAUAACCGAUAACCCCCGUUCUACCUAACCCCCCUUUGCCUUUUCAGCCUGUAUACCUCCGUCGCAAGUCCGCCAUAUGAAUGCCCUUCAGCGGAUUAAAGGAUUUUUUAUCAAUACGUCAGGUCAAGGUGCAGCCUAUAGGGUGGCAAGCAAUGGGCUACAAUUUCUAACCUAGAACAUACGAAAUACUGCAUGAAACACAGUCACGAAGGAGGAUUUAGUAGUAAAAAGAAAACAGCGUGUUCUUUUUAACGCGGCCCUGGGACGUGUACACACCGCCCGUC
This 404-nucleotide ribosomal RNA is filed under the name Euphlyctis cyanophlyctis (skittering frog). RNAcentral's name for it is "partial 12S ribosomal RNA". It matches the Rfam family "Bacterial small subunit ribosomal RNA", at positions 779 to 1398 of the family's 1533-position model. Lineage: Eukaryota; Metazoa; Chordata; Amphibia; Anura; Dicroglossidae. The record is from RNAcentral.